RNAcentral lists this ribosomal RNA (252 nucleotides) under uncultured bacterium. RNAcentral's name for it is "partial 16S ribosomal RNA". It matches the Rfam family "Bacterial small subunit ribosomal RNA", at positions 524 to 776 of the family's 1533-position model. The record is from RNAcentral.
UACGGAGGAUGCGAGCGUUAUCCGGAUUUAUUGGGUUUAAAGGGUGCGUAGGCGGGCUUUUAAGUCAGCGGUAAAAAUUCGGGGCUCAACCCCGUCCGGCCGUUGAAACUGGGGGUCUUGAGUGGGCGAGAAGAAGGCGGAAUGCGUGGUGUAGCGGUGAAAUGCAUAGAUAUCACGCAGAACCCCGAUUGCGAAGGCAGCCUACCGGCGCCCUACUGACGCUGAGGCACGAAAGUGCGGGGAUCGAACAGG